AAAAAGUUCCGUAUCCAUUUGACCGUCUGACUUAUUUAAAAAACUUAUAAAAAAAAUAAAUUAAAAAGGCAAGUCACGUAUAAAAUGUUAAUCAUGUUUUAUCAUUUAACAACAAUGAAAAUACGAAUUAUAAAAAAAUUUCAUAUAAGACGGACAGUCAAAGUUGGACAUGGAAAUCUAGGGUUUGUAUUUUU
Molecule: non-coding RNA, 194 nt
Organism: Oryza barthii
Lineage: Eukaryota; Viridiplantae; Streptophyta; Magnoliopsida; Poales; Poaceae
Source: Rfam